This 724-nucleotide ribosomal RNA is filed under the name uncultured archaeon. RNAcentral describes it as "bacterial SSU rRNA". It matches the Rfam family "Archaeal small subunit ribosomal RNA", at positions 19 to 718 of the family's 1478-position model. The record is from RNAcentral.
GGACCCCACUGCUAUCGGGGUGGGACUAAAACAUGCAAGUCGAGCGCCUCCAAGCUAUGGUGAAGGCGCGGCAAACGGCUCAGUAACACGUGGCCAACCUACCCUUGGGACGGAGACAACCCCGGGAAACUGGGGCUAAUCCCCGAUAGGUGAGGAAUCCUGGAAUGGAUCCUCGCCCAAAAGACGUUGAAUCCAUGCUAUUCAGCGUCGCCCAAGGAUGGAGCCGCGACCGAUCAGGUAGUUGGUGAGGCAACGGCUCACCAAGCCUAUAACCGGUACGGGCCGUGAGAGCGGGAGCCCGGAGAUGGGCACUGAGACAAGGGCCCAGGCCCUACGGGGCGCAGCAGUUGCGAAAACUCCGCAAUGCGCGAAAGCGUGACGGGGCUACCCCGAGUGCCGCCCGUUGAGGGCGGCUUUUCCACGGUGUAAGGAGCCGUGGGAAUAAGGAGAGGGCAAGACUGGUGUCAGCCGCCGCGGUAAUACCAGCUCUCCGAGUGGUGGGGACGAUUAUUGGGCUUAAAGCGUUCGUAGCCGGCUUAACAAGUCUUCCGUUAAAUCCAACGAUCUAAUCGUUGGGCUGCGGGAGAUACUGUUGGGCUAGGAGGCGGGAGAAGCCGACGGUAUUCUCGGGGUAGGGGUGAAAUCCUGUAAUCCCGGGAGGACCACCAGUGGCGAANGCGGUCGGCUAGAACGCGCUCGACGGUGAGGGACGAAAGCUGGGGGA